GAUGAACGCUGGCGGCGUGCCUAAUACAUGCAAGUCGAGCGCACAGACCAGGCGCUUGCUCCUCUGACGUUAGCGGCGGACGGGUGAGUAACACGUGGAUAACCUACCUAUAAGACUGGGAUAACUUCGGGAAACCGGAGCUAAUACCGGAUAAUAUAUUGAACCGCAUGGUUCCAUAGUGAAAGACGGUUUUGCUGUCACUUAUAGAUGGAUCCGCGCCGCAUUAGCUAGUUGGUAAGGUAACGGCUUACCAAGGCAACGAUGCGUAGCCGACCUGAGAGGGUGAUCGGCCACACUGGAACUGAGACACGGUCCAGACUCCUACGGGAGGCAGCAGUAGGGAAUCUUCCGCAAUGGGCGAAAGCCUGACGGAGCAACGCCGCGUGAGUGAUGAAGGUCUUCGGAUCGUAAAACUCUGUUAUUAGGGAAGAACAAAGGUGUAAGUAACUAUGCACGUCUUGACGGUACCUAAUCAGAAAGCCACGGCUAACUACGUG
This 497-nucleotide ribosomal RNA is filed under the name uncultured bacterium. Its description in RNAcentral is "partial 16S ribosomal RNA". It matches the Rfam family "Bacterial small subunit ribosomal RNA", at positions 28 to 507 of the family's 1533-position model. The record is from RNAcentral.